CUCACACACACAGCUCUGAGAAAGCGAUCAGCUUAUGUGGAGACCCAGCCCGCUGUGUCUUACUUCACUUCGACAUAAUCGAUGCAAGCUUAUUGUUUUUUUAUUUGAGCAUUUUUUUUUCUCCGCGAACAGAGUCACGACAUUCCAGCCUCGGAACUGGAAACCUGUUUCCUGGGAUGUUCUGGCUAUGACAAGAUCCACAGUGUUGUCCUUAUCCCCAAAAUGUGUCCUCCCUCCCGCCUUCUGGAUGAGGCUACAGAUCCUAACUCCUGUCUGGUUUAAAUGGAGGCUCACCUGUCGAUCAAGUGGAGCUGGGGGUGGAGCUUGGGGUUUUUAACCCAGCCCUCAUGGUGUAGUAGUCAGUCUUGUCUUACUCUUUGUGUGAGGACGGUACAUGUGCCCAUCCGCCUCAUUCCAAAGCCAUUCUGGUGCAGUUCGUCUGCAGUCUGUUCCAGAAUGGUGCGUUUAGGCUUGUGUGGAGCAGCAGAGAACAUUACUUCGAGGAGAGGAGACAGAACCAGGCUGUGAACAUGGAGAAAGACAUGUCUUGGCCUUAAGAUGAGGUGCAGAAAGAAGAAAGAGGUCUACAAAACAGAGAACACCAUACUGUUCUAGGAACAAAACUCGGGAAAUCGAGGAGACAAGUGUCAGGGAAUUGUAAAAGAAAGUAAAUGCACAGAGCUCUGAUAUGUUGAAUUUCCAGUCUCUGCUCCAGGGAGUUAAUAUUAACUGCCACAUUAUGUUAUUUCAGCAGACAAUAUUCAAGACAAACCUUAACGCCUGUAGCUGUGCUAAUAGUAUUGCCACUGGAAUUGAAAACACUGUGCAGUCUAGUCUUGGCCUGGCAGUCUGAUUCAAAACAAUGGCUUUCGUUUGCGUCUGUUUUUUUUUUUUCUGUGUGAAUUAUUUUCUUUCUGCUUCAAGAAAAACUGUAGGACUAAAAUCAUGAAUACACAUCAAAUUAAAAAAAAGGAGAGGAAAAGCUGUUCCACUGUUUCUUCAGAUAGCAGAAUGAACGCUUUCUGUCACAGCUUGAAAUUAAAACAGAUGGAAUACCAAAGGAGCAGAGCAAUUAUAACAUCAUUCUCCCUAACAACAAACUAAAUAACUGGAAAAUCGUUGUUCAGCAAGAGGUUAAUAGACCUCUUCUCUGCUGUCUGUGAGGUACAUUUUUAGCCUUCUGACUGUGAGUUUUGCUGUUUUAUGUCUUUCUAAGAUGAGGGCUGCCUUAAUAAAGAGUCAGAAAAAGCUUUCAAAUCACUGUCUGCAUCAGUUUGUGAUGCAGGAAUGUUAUUACACAGUUAU
Lepisosteus oculatus (spotted gar) is the source of this 1305-nucleotide long non-coding RNA. RefSeq lists it as uncharacterized. Lineage: Eukaryota; Metazoa; Chordata; Actinopteri; Semionotiformes; Lepisosteidae. The record is from RefSeq and is a predicted model, not a curated record.